UAACGGCCCACCAAGGCUUUGAUCGGUAGCCGGCCUGAGAGGGCGCACGGCCACACUGGAACUGAAAUAUGGUCCAGACUCCUACGGGAGGCAGCAGUGGGGAAUUUUGCGCAAUGGGGGAAACCCUGACGCAGCAACGCCGCGUGGAGGAUGAAGUCCCUUCGGAUGUAAACUCCUUUCGACCGGGAAGAUACUGACGGUACCGGUGGAAGAAGCACCGGCUAACUCUGUGCCAGCAGCCGCGGUAAUACAGAGGGUGCGAGCGUUGUUCGGAAUUAUUGGGCGUAAAGGGCGCGUAGGCGGUCGGGUAAGUCACCUGUGAAAUCUCCUGGCUCAACUGGGAGUCUGCAGGCGAAACUGUUUGACUGGAGUAUGGGAGAGGUGCGUGGAAUUACCGGUGUAGCGGUGAAAUG
Molecule: ribosomal RNA, 413 nt
Filed under: uncultured Acidobacteriota bacterium
Lineage: Bacteria; Pseudomonadati; Acidobacteriota
Description: bacterial SSU rRNA
Rfam family: Bacterial small subunit ribosomal RNA
Source: RNAcentral